This 688-nucleotide long non-coding RNA is filed under the name Homo sapiens (human). Its description in RNAcentral is "HSALNT0150798". The record is from RNAcentral. Lineage: Eukaryota; Metazoa; Chordata; Mammalia; Primates; Hominidae.
UUUUGAUUUGGGUGAGUGGCUGCUCUGACUGCGUGGAGAUCUGCCUGGGCAUCAAGCAGAGAAGGCCUCAAUCCACCACUAUCUCUGCACAGGAAGGGUUAGGAAACUCAGGCUGCUGGUCCGGGCAAGCAGUUGCUCCAAAUGCAUGGAGUUCUGCCUGGAUGUGGAGUGAAGAGGCCCCCCUGCAUCAGGAUCUCUACACAGGAAGGAUGGCCGUAGCUCAGGCUGCUGAACCAGAACAGAAAUUGUCUUGUCAUUCUGUGUCCCUUGGGACUCCUAUUAUUACUGGCAGAUGCAAAUUUUGAUGAUUACAUUUUCUAAAUCCAUGAUUAAACUUCUCUGCCAUGGCGCAAACAGAAUGCAAAAGAAGUCCAUAUCUAGAGAAAUCCUGGUGGAAUUUUUCAAACUUCUAUGACAAAAAAAAGUCCGAUGAGUUUCUAGAUUUUAAAAAGUACUAAAUUACUUUUUAAAAAAUCAACUUUACAAACAACAUGAAAACAGAAUGUUUAAGAGGAAAAAUUAUGUGUAGCUUAUAAUAAUAAUUAUAUCCCAGUUUUCCUUACUUUACUGGAGUACAGAGAAAUGACUUUUUAAAAAGGUAUACAAGUUUUAUUAAAUAAAAGUCAAUGUGAGCUUCUUAAUAUUACCAUUCUGACUUAACAACAAUUGUAUUUAUAAGAAAUAUGUA